CACGUUGAUUCGCGUCCAGUAACUCAGACGUGUCAGUGAAGGCAGCCGCGGAAGUAUCGGCUUUCAGUUCAACAUGGCUUCAAAUGCGACGAGCUGAGAAAAACCAGGGCUAUUUUCUAUUUCAGCACUCCCGAGGCGUCAAACGAGGAAAAAGACUUGGGAAAUAUAUUCAACAGCUGCAUUCAAAUCAUGGUGGGAAGACACUGAUCGGAUCGUUCAGGUUUACACAGUGUGGGCUUCGGCCGUCACGAACAAGACUGCAGUCCGAUGCCAUCGCUCUCCAUUCCGCCUGCCAUGGACGGGCACAUCUUUUCACAUUCGGACGGACCUCAACUGGAUGCCGGGGGGUUCAUCCUUGCACCCCCUUUGGUAACUACCUCUCAUUUCAUUUAGCAUCACAUCUAAAAGUGGAGCGUUUUUGGUCCCACCAGUCAAAAACGUUUGAAACUACAACCAUUCGGUUACUAGCCUGUAUUAUUAACCACAAUGCCUUUGGUAUUGAAUCACAUUUCUUACCAGCACACGUUUAGUAUAAAUUCAUAAAGUGUGCAUAUAGUGUUCGUUACUGGUUUCCUUUUUCGAAAACUCGGGUCAUUCGCUCUGAUAUCUGGCGAAACCUCAAGACUUUGGUGUGUGUGGGUGAUAGAAUGACGUCUUUGUGGUCACAGAGUCAUUUUAACAGUUGGUAGACGCAAUUCCUGAUAAGCCAUGCAGCUUUUUCUCACCGUUUUGUUAAAAUACUGUCAUCGUGUAUCUCGUAUUUUGACAGGGUUCAGUAAAAUUCAAAGAAUAAGAUGGUUUAAAGUGGAAAAAGGAAGUGUUAAGGUAAAUAUUUGGGUGGUGAUGAAGUACAGUGAUGUCAUCAUGAGUGUAAAAAGCACUUGUGCAAAUGAAGGGAGUUUCCUGUAGACACAAAUUUUAGAUAUAGACCGAAUGACUCACUAUUUUUAUGCAGGCAAUACUCGGCUCCGGUCAAAGUUGUAAUGGUUAUAAAUGUUAUUUUUGUUUUAGUUCCUAUUUUAUGUUCAAUGCG
This 1033-nucleotide long non-coding RNA is filed under the name Sinocyclocheilus anshuiensis. RNAcentral describes it as "lncRNA (ENSSANG00000013403.1)". Lineage: Eukaryota; Metazoa; Chordata; Actinopteri; Cypriniformes; Cyprinidae. The record is from RNAcentral.